This 399-nucleotide long non-coding RNA is filed under the name Homo sapiens (human). RNAcentral's name for it is "HSALNT0379340". Lineage: Eukaryota; Metazoa; Chordata; Mammalia; Primates; Hominidae. The record is from RNAcentral.
CAAACCCACUGUGUGCCUGGCGCCCUUGCGGUCAUCCCAGAUUUUUGCCCACAUCCCUCUGUUCCACCCAGAGGCCACCUGCAUGCAGGCAUGGUGGAUGGUUGCUGUGUGCAGUGAUGGCCUCCUGGGACCUCUUGCUGGCCACGGAGUUAACCAGGAGGGACCAUCAACCUCGGAAGCAGGCCCAGCUCCAUGAUGAUGCCUCUCUCCAGAGACCUCCUGACCUCCUGACCUGCACAGCCCGGGAGACCACAGCCCACAGCCGCUGCCCCAGGUGUCCACAAGCAUCUCAGCCCCUCCACAGCCCACGCAUCUCCUCUUUCAUUGGCUCAUGGGGAGUGAAGGACAAUGUCUGAAUUAAAUGCCGUGCUUUAAACUGAAAGGGAAACUUAGCAAAUA